UGAACCACCACCCAUAUGGGAUGCCGGCACUGCAGAUGGCGGCUUUACCCGGCUACGCCACAGCACUGACUGGGUUUUCUCACAGCAGAGCUCCCCUGAGUGCACAUUCAGGGGAAACAACAGGUCCUUGUUCAGCGAGUCACAAUGGAGGAUUGUAGGGACGAAUGGGGCACCUUGGUCUGCUGGGGAUUCCCUUUGAAAUCCUGCUAGGGUUUGAGCCCUGGGAGGAGGGGGUAACCUACACUUAUCUCUCCAGAGAGUCUGAGUGGCAGUUGGAGCCACUAUCUCUCCCCUCACUAUCUCCGAAGCCCUGCCCUGGAUUCCCUGUGACUCAGCCUGAGUCGGUGAUAUUAAGAAAACAGACCGUGUAAUUACCCUUUCAUUCGAAUGCCUUGCUGCCCAUUCCAGAUGCAUGAGCAGCAGAUACACAGUUUAUAGAGAGCAGGGUCCUCUGCUGCACACAAGUGCGUGUCGAUUCUCUGCAUCUUCACCUGGAGACCACCGACUCAGACUCGGAGCUCCAGAUACCGAUUUCUUGCUCAGACGACUUCAGUUCACAGCGCCUUUCAUGGGGCCACUUUCUCAGAGCAGCUAUCUCCCAGCCUGGCCACAGAGUCCCCGAAGAGAGGCUGAGCCCACCCAGGACUGCCGGGACCCUGUGUGCUUCUCUGUGAAGUUGGGUAAGAAGCCCUUCUCUGCCAGGGGGCCCUUAUCAGCUCCACAGAGGCCAGGACAGCUGUUCACCAGCUGGUCACUUAGCAGGAAGCCCCGGGAAUAGAGAAGUGAGAACCUAACUGUGUGCACAGCCGCCCUGACCAUGGCCGGAAAACCGCAAGUGGAAAGAGAAAAACUGCUCUGAGAAACUCUUUGAGAACUUGCAGUAAGUGACAGGAUCAGUACUAGUGUUGCAUUUCCUUACCUGAAUUAAAACACACACACACACACACACACACACUCAGACAUGUACACUCACACACAGACACACACAUACACCCACAUAGACACACACAGACACACAGUCACAGACACACACACUCACACACAGACACACAUGUAUGUACUUCUUUUCUGUUUAACUCCAGAGACCUCUCUCCUUUGCUGGCCCGUGGUUCUGAGUCUUACCAAGGGCUUAGUAGAUUG
RNAcentral lists this long non-coding RNA (1140 nucleotides) under Oryctolagus cuniculus (rabbit). RNAcentral describes it as "lncRNA (ENSOCUG00000035514.1)". Lineage: Eukaryota; Metazoa; Chordata; Mammalia; Lagomorpha; Leporidae. The record is from RNAcentral.